UGCCAGCAGCCGCGGUAAUACGGAGGGUGCGAGCGUUGUUCGGAAUUACUGGGCGUAAAGCGCACGUAGGCGGCGUAUCAAGUCAGGUGUGAAAGCCCUCGGCUCAACCGAGGAAUUGCGCUUGAAACUGAUAUGCUUGAGUGUCGGGGAGGAAAGUAGAAUUCCCGGUGUAGAGGUGAAAUUCAUAGAUAUCGGGAGGAAUACCUGAGGCGAAAGCAACUUUCUAAACGAAUACUGACGCUGAGGUGCGAAAGCAUGGGGAGCAAACAGGAUUAGAUA
Molecule: ribosomal RNA, 279 nt
Filed under: uncultured bacterium
Lineage: Bacteria
Description: partial 16S ribosomal RNA
Rfam family: Bacterial small subunit ribosomal RNA
Source: RNAcentral